This is a long non-coding RNA of Dermatophagoides farinae (American house dust mite), 740 nucleotides long. RefSeq lists it as uncharacterized. The record is from RefSeq and is a predicted model, not a curated record. NCBI's taxonomy places the organism in Eukaryota, Metazoa, Arthropoda, Arachnida, Sarcoptiformes, Pyroglyphidae.
AAUGUCAUUCAGCAAUGUGGCUGCGAUGAUGAUUCUUGUUUGUCAGAGAUUCGUAAACGAGAUACGGCCAUUUUUGUACUAUGUACGUGUGCGUGUGUAUGCAUAUAUCAAGAUAGAAGCAUUCCAACACCAUUCAUCUCAGCACAGCAUUGUCGAUCGACUAAUCAGACUAAUCACCAUCAAUGAUGCGAUUGUGGUUCAUAUUGGUCAUUGCAUCAGUCACAUUGGCAUCAUGGUCAUCUGCCACCAAUGGCAGCACAACCAUGCAUGGUAUCCUAAGCAAAUAUAGUCUUUUUCCGGGCAUUUUCUCAUUCGAAUCCAUAGAACGACCAGCAUCGAAAUUGAUUGAAACAGACAACAACAUCAUCAACAACAACAACAACAAUGAGGCGUCAUCGACACUUGAACCUACAAGUAAAAAAGAAUACCCUCAGCAGAGUGUCUUGCAAUUUUCCCGUUUCAAAUUUGUUCCAUCAUCGAUCGAACCUCGAUAUCAGGUUGAACGCACAGUGCCACAUCACCAACAAGUGAUAUUCACAUCACCUAUUGAUCAUCAGACUGCUCAGGAUGAUCGGUCGGUGAAUGAAAAUGACAGAUGACUUUAUUUCGUUCUCAUCAUCUCAUUAUGUAUUUAUUAAGGUGGAAUUUUAAGCCGAAUUUUCACAAUAUGGACUUGGUGAUUAUGGAAUAAUGAAUUGUGUGGGUGUUGUGUACAAUUGAUUAAAUAACUUUAACAUUAA